This 410-nucleotide RNase P RNA is filed under the name bovine gut metagenome. Its description in RNAcentral is "Bacterial RNase P class A". It matches the Rfam family "Bacterial RNase P class A". From Rfam's summary of the family: Ribonuclease P (RNase P) is a ubiquitous endoribonuclease, found in archaea, bacteria and eukarya as well as chloroplasts and mitochondria. Its best characterised activity is the generation of mature 5'-ends of tRNAs by cleaving the 5'-leader elements of precursor-tRNAs. Cellular RNase Ps are ribonucleoproteins. The record is from RNAcentral.
UUGGUUGAUUGGUCGCUGUAUUUUUGUACAGAGGAAAGUCCGGGCUUCAAACAAGCGGAAUGCCGGGUUAACGCCCGGCGUGUAGUGAUUUUUUCACUACGCAGGGAUAGUGCAACAGAAAGUAUACCGCCGACAUCGUAAGUUGGUAAGGGUGAAAAGGUGAGGUAAAAGCUCACCGUGCGUGCUAACGCGCGUAGCGUGGUAAACCCCAUUUGAAGCAAGACCAAAUAGGAACGGUGCGAUUUUAUAAUCACGGGUGCUUGUUACCGAACCGUUCGGGUAGGUUGCUAGAAGCUGUUGGUAACGACAGUUCAAGAUAAAUGACCAAUCAGAUUUUGUGGAUAUAGUUACGGCGUGAUGCCGUGAGAAUUCGCGAAUUCGGACAGAACCCGGCUUAUAGACCAGUCCGU